RNAcentral lists this ribosomal RNA (460 nucleotides) under uncultured bacterium. RNAcentral's name for it is "partial 16S ribosomal RNA". It matches the Rfam family "Bacterial small subunit ribosomal RNA", at positions 338 to 795 of the family's 1533-position model. The record is from RNAcentral.
CCUACGGGAGGCAGCAGUGAGGAAUAUUGGUCAAUGGGCGCGAGCCUGAACCAGCCAAGUAGCGUGAAGGAUGACUGCCCUACGGGUUGUAAACUUCUUUUAUAAAGGAGUAAACUGAGGCACGUGUGCCUGUCUGUAUGUACUUUAUGAAUAAGGAUCGGCUAACUCCGUGCCAGCAGCCGCGGUAAUACGGAGGAUUCAAGCGUUAUCCGGAUUUAUUGGGUUUAAAGGGUGCGUAGCCGGUGGGAUAAGUAAGAGGUGAAAGCCCGAGGCUCAACGGCGGAAGUGCCAUUGAUACUGUUCGGCUAGAGUGCGGUUGCGGUAGGCGGAAUGUAUGGUGUAGCGGUGAAAUGCUUAGAGAUCACACAGAACACCGAUUGCGAAGGCAGCUUACCAAGCUACGACUGACGUUGAGGCACGAAAGCGUGGGGAGCAAACAGGAUUAGAUACCCUAGUAGUC